This is a non-coding RNA of Erinaceus europaeus (western European hedgehog), 98 nucleotides long. The record is from Rfam. Lineage: Eukaryota; Metazoa; Chordata; Mammalia; Eulipotyphla; Erinaceidae.
UUAUAAGGAAGGCGCCGAUCCUCCAUUUCAGCCUUUCUUUCUACUGAGACGUGGCCAUGGGAUUUCUGGCCUUGUAAACACAGGACUCCUUGGGGUCU